UAGGCCCUACGGGGGGCAGCAGUGAGGAAUAUUGGUCAAUGGCCGAGAGGCUGAACCAGCCAAGUCGCGUGAGGGAAGACGGCCCUACGGGUUGUAAACCUCUUUUGUCGGGGAGCAAAGCGAGUCACGUGUGACUCAUUGAGAGUACCCGAAGAAAAAGCAUCGGCUAACUCCGUGCCAGCAGCCGCGGUAAUACGGAGGAUGCGAGCGUUAUCCGGAUUUAUUGGGUUUAAAGGGUGCGUAGGCGGAAGGUUAAGUCAGCGGUCAAAUGUCGGUGCUCAACACCGGCCUGCCGUUGAAACUGG
Molecule: ribosomal RNA, 305 nt
Filed under: uncultured bacterium
Lineage: Bacteria
Description: bacterial SSU rRNA
Rfam family: Bacterial small subunit ribosomal RNA
Source: RNAcentral